Ictidomys tridecemlineatus (thirteen-lined ground squirrel) is the source of this 485-nucleotide non-coding RNA. NCBI's taxonomy places the organism in Eukaryota, Metazoa, Chordata, Mammalia, Rodentia, Sciuridae. The record is from RefSeq and is a predicted model, not a curated record.
AAACCAGCUGGGGAGGAUGGAAACACACAGAACAUGAGCUCCAGGGCAGGAGCUUCAAUUCUGAUGAAGCACGUAAUAUCUGUGAUAUCUGAAGUUAGAAAAUAAGAAAGAAUGUGAAGGGAAAAUACCCAAAUGUCCCAUGUACUAUCUAACUUGCAUCCAGCAUCCAUUAUGUGCCAGGCAUUGUACUGGGUGCUGGAGCUGUGUGACCAACCAGCUCAAGCCCAUCAUCUCAUGAAACCUAUGUUAAUGGAGGAAGAGACACAAAAAUAGAUGAUAACCAAAAUAAAUACUUGGGGAAAAUGAUCAGAGCACUGAGAAGAAAAAGUAGACAGAUGGAAAACAGGACAAGGAACAAUUUUGGAAAUGUCCACCAGCAAAAGAAACUUUCAGCAGAACAUCAGGCUGAUAUGAAUACCACUUCAAAAUGAUUAAGACUCACCUCUUAUUAAUCAUCACUUACCAAUAAAGAACUUUUGACCAGA